Molecule: transfer RNA, 94 nt
Filed under: Streptomyces sp. CA-256286
Lineage: Bacteria; Bacillati; Actinomycetota; Actinomycetes; Kitasatosporales; Streptomycetaceae
Description: tRNA-Trp
Source: RNAcentral
CUUGGGCAGGGUCGCGAGGUCCAGGCCCGCGGCCUCCAGUGCCGUGUCGAUCCGGGUCCGCGCGGCGGCCCUGCGUUCGGAGCGCGGGCGGAGC